GGGCCCGCACAAGCGGUGGAGUAUGUGGUUUAAUUCGAUGCAACGCGAAGAACCUUACCAGGGUUUGACAUCCUGCGAAUCUCUUGGAAACGAGAGAGUGCCUUCGGGAACGCAGUGACAGGUGGUGCAUGGCUGUCGUCAGCUCGUGUCGUGAGAUGUUGGGUUAAGUCCCGCAACGAGCGCAACCCACGUCUUUAGUUGCCAGCAUUUAGUUGGGCACUCUAUGGAAACUGCCCGUGAUAAGCCGGAGGAAGGUGGGGAUGACGUCAAGUCCUCAUGGCCCUUACAGGCUGGGCUACACACGUGCUACAAUGGCGAUGACAGUGGGCAGCGACCCCGCAAGGGUGAGCUAA
This 353-nucleotide ribosomal RNA is filed under the name uncultured bacterium. Its description in RNAcentral is "bacterial SSU rRNA". It matches the Rfam family "Bacterial small subunit ribosomal RNA", at positions 917 to 1271 of the family's 1533-position model. The record is from RNAcentral.